GGUUGAUAAUAUGGAGCUUUUUUGAUCUUGUUUUGCAGAUUUGAGUUCAGUGUUUCUAUGGUGGAGCUCCACAGGAGGACUCUUGAUGUAGCCGUGAAGAACGGAGGAAGCAUCCUGUCCAAACACAAAGGCUUUCUGGGAAAGGUACUUGUAGAUUUAAGUGGGGAGGAUAUCUCUAAAGGAUGGACGCAAUGGUAUGAUCUGAGUGAUGACGGCGUGUCGUCUCGAAGCUUAAGAAGUAUUCACGACCCCCUCCUCUCAUAAUGGACUCUCCCGUUUCUGCUGUAAUAUAGACAUCUUGUUAUUAUAAGGGCACAUUUAUUUAUGUACAAUUUUCAAUUCAUCCCAGGACUCAUGUCAGCAUGCAACAACAUCUCCCAUCUCAUCCUCAUCCUGGUACAGAUUGCGAUGCGUUUGAAACUCACUAACUGCCUUGUCUCCGGUGUUUUAUGUAAAUAAGAAGUUGAUAAUAUAAUGAUUUGCAGGGGCUUUGUGGCAUCAUAUUGAAAUAUGUCAACCUGGUUAUUACCGUCUGUCCCAUUUGUUCAAUUCUGUUUGAGAACUCGUACCAAAGGAACGGAAACAAACACAAACGUAGCGAUAUUUCUUUUGUCAUGCAGUGUUAUUUGAUUGUUUACCUCUAAUUGUACGGUGGUCGUCCUCCGUAUUGUUGUUAUUUAUGCUUGAUUAUACACAAGGAAUGCACAUAUGCAAAGAGUAAAAUGAUUGCACUGUAUAUUUUACGAGGAUGUAAGUGAAGGGGCAUUUUAGGGCUAUGAACAAGUGCUAAAGUGUGAAAUGAAGGAUACUUGAAUAAGUGUUUUGAUUGGCGUUCGAACCAAUCGUGAAUAAUGUGAGCAGCCGUUUGAAGAGGACUUGAGUUAAGUUGUGAGGUUUGUACCGUUGGACGUUUUAAAUACCUGUUAUCGAUCCUGUGCCUUAAAUAAACCCGCGGUGUAAUGUUUGCCUU
This is a long non-coding RNA of Notothenia coriiceps (black rockcod), 970 nucleotides long. RefSeq lists it as uncharacterized. Lineage: Eukaryota; Metazoa; Chordata; Actinopteri; Perciformes; Nototheniidae. The transcript has 3 exons. The record is from RefSeq and is a predicted model, not a curated record.